This 440-nucleotide ribosomal RNA is filed under the name uncultured bacterium. RNAcentral describes it as "partial 16S ribosomal RNA". It matches the Rfam family "Bacterial small subunit ribosomal RNA", at positions 338 to 795 of the family's 1533-position model. The record is from RNAcentral.
CCUACGGGGAGCUGCAGUGGGGAAUAUUGCACAAUGGGGGAAACCCUGAUGCAGCGACGCCGCGUGUGUGAAGAAGUAUCUCGGUACGUAAAGCUCUAUCAGCAGGGAAGAAAAUGUCGGUACCUGACUAAGAAGCCCCGGCUAACUCCGUGCCAGCAGCCUCGGUAAUACGUAGGGGGCAAGCGUUAUCCGGAUUUACUGGGUGUAAAGGGAGCGUAGACGGCAGCGCAAGUCUGGGGUGAAAUCCCGGGGCUUAACCCCGGAACUGCUUUGGAAACUGUGCGGCUGGAGUGCAGGAGGGGUGAGCGGAAUUCCUAGUGUAGCGGUGAAAUGCGUAGAUAUUAGGAGGAACACCGGUGGCGAAGGCGGCUUACUGGACUGUAACUGACGUUGAGGCUCGAAAGCGUGGGGAGCAAACAGGAUUAGAUACCCCUGUAGUC